RNAcentral lists this unclassified non-coding RNA (400 nucleotides) under fungal sp. Its description in RNAcentral is "partial internal transcribed spacer region". The stretch from base 1 to 46 matches the Rfam family "Eukaryotic small subunit ribosomal RNA", at positions 1786 to 1831 of the family's 1831-position model. Lineage: Eukaryota; Fungi. The record is from RNAcentral.
AAGUCGUAACAAGGUUUCCGUAGGUGAACCUGCGGAAGGAUCAUUAACACGUAUCCAACGUUAACCCCCCGUGAACCUUCAUUAUGCUGGUUGUGCGCCAUCGUAUCGUAGCAAUCCCUGGUAAAUCAUCGCCGAACAGUUUUGAUUCAGGGACUUCCUCAAAGAGUGUGCAUGUUGCGCGAGGCAAGUGGCCUGGCAUUCCCAAGCAGUUAAUGUCUGAAAGUGUCAUUAGCUGUGUAAGGAUGACGCAGUAACGAUCGUUGGAGGCCGACACGGCCGACGACCGGGUCACCGGGCGCAAGCCCCUUUAUCACCACUUAAUGCAUGACAGACGCGCCAGCGCUUAAUUGUGCGGCGACCAAAAACCGAACAACUGUUAACAAUGGAUAUCUUGGUUCUC